This 497-nucleotide ribosomal RNA is filed under the name uncultured bacterium. RNAcentral's name for it is "partial 16S ribosomal RNA". It matches the Rfam family "Bacterial small subunit ribosomal RNA", at positions 28 to 507 of the family's 1533-position model. The record is from RNAcentral.
GAUGAACGCUGGCGGCGUGCCUAAUACAUGCAAGUCGAGCGAACAGACGAGGAGCUUGCUCCUCUGACGUUAGCGGCGGACGGGUGAGUAACACGUGGAUAACCUACCUAUAAUACUGGGAUAACUUCGGGAAACCGGAGCUAAUACCGGAUAAUAUAUUGAACCGCAUGGUUCAAUAGUGAAAGACGGUUUUGCUGUCACUUUUAGAUGGAUCCGCGCCGCAUUAGCUAGUUGGUAAGGUAACGGCUUACCAAGGCUACGAUGCGUAGCCGACCUGAGAGGGUGAUCGGCCACACUGGAACUGAGACACGGUCCAGACUCCUACGGGAGGCAGCAGUAGGGAAUCUUCCGCAAUGGGCGAAAGCCUGACGGAGCAACGCCGCGUGAGUGAUGAAGGUCUUCGGAUCGUAAAACUCUGUUAUUAGGGAAGAACAAAUGUGUAAGUAACUAUGCACGUCUUGACGGUACCUAAUCAGAAAGCCACGGCUAACUACGUG